CAAACAAUUAUAAUUCAUACAUACAAACUAUAUAUAUAUGUGUAUAUAUGUAAAAAAAAUAAUAUACAUACAUAUAAAAAAUAAUACAUAUAUAAACAUAAAAAUAUAUACAAAAAAUAAUACUACAAAUCAAAACAUCAUAUAUAUAUAUAUAUAUUUUUGGUCUAGUGUAUAUAAAUAUUUAAUUAAUCAAUGGAGAGAUGCAUGGCGUUCUGGAUCUAUACAUAUUGCUUAGCACACAGCCG
This 245-nucleotide long non-coding RNA is filed under the name Sorghum bicolor (sorghum). RNAcentral describes it as "long non-coding RNA (SBIC_LNC011628)". The record is from RNAcentral. Lineage: Eukaryota; Viridiplantae; Streptophyta; Magnoliopsida; Poales; Poaceae.